UUCGAACCCGAUUGGACC
This 18-nucleotide non-coding RNA is filed under the name Arabidopsis thaliana (thale cress). The record is from RNAcentral. Lineage: Eukaryota; Viridiplantae; Streptophyta; Magnoliopsida; Brassicales; Brassicaceae.